Molecule: ribosomal RNA, 245 nt
Filed under: uncultured bacterium
Lineage: Bacteria
Description: partial 16S ribosomal RNA
Rfam family: Bacterial small subunit ribosomal RNA
Source: RNAcentral
AAUGAACGCUGGCGGCGCGCCUAAUACAUGCAAGUCGAGCGAGAAGACGUAGCAAUACGUUUGUAAAGCGGCGAACGGGUGAGGAAUACAUGGGUAACCUACCCUCGAGUGGGGAAUAACUAGCCGAAAGGUUAGCUAAUACCGCGUACGCUCCUUGGACUUCGGUUCAGGGAGGAAAGCGAUACCGUGGGUAUCGCGCUCUUGGUUGGGCUCAUGUCCUAUCAGCUUGUUGGUGAGGUAACGGC